GUGCUUCAAGAAUGGCCCUUCCAUGAAUUGGUUCAUGGAGCGUGGCUCAUAAACCAUAAACAAUACCGUACCUAAACCAACACAGGUGGAUAAGCUGAAUAAGCAAAGGCUAAGGCAGACACCCGGGAAAGGAACUCGGCAAAAUGCUAGCGUAACUUCGGAAAAAGCUAGACCUUAAUAAAGGUGUCACUAAAGAGAGGGGGACAACUGGUUAUUAAAACCACAGGGCUUUGCAAAGUGGAAACACUGCGUAUAAAGCCUGACGCCUGCCCGGUGCCGGGAGAUAAGUCUAGUAUAUGCAAGUAUAUAAACAGAAGGACCGGUAAACGGCAGCCAUAACUCUGGUGCGACUUGAUAAACUAAU
This 364-nucleotide ribosomal RNA is filed under the name Chlorolobion braunii. RNAcentral's name for it is "large subunit ribosomal RNA". It matches the Rfam family "Bacterial large subunit ribosomal RNA", at positions 1551 to 1965 of the family's 2925-position model. The record is from RNAcentral. Lineage: Eukaryota; Viridiplantae; Chlorophyta; Chlorophyceae; Sphaeropleales; Selenastraceae.